CAGCAGCCGCGGUAAUACCGGCGGCCCGAGUGGCGGUCACUAUUAUUGGGCUUAAAGCGUCCGUAGCCGGGUUGGGAAGUCCUCCGGGAAAUCUGGCCGCUUAACGGUCAGAAUGCCGGAGGAUACUCCCAGCCUAGGGGGCGGGAGAGGCCGAGGGGAUUCCCGGGGUAGGGGGGAAAUCCUAUAAUCCCGGGACGACCACCUGUGGCGAAGGCGCUCGGCUGGAACGCGUCCGACGGGGAGGGACGAAGGCCAGGGGAGCAAACCGGAUUAGAUACCCGGGUAGUCCUGGCUGUAAACGAUGCGGACUUUGUGUCGGACAAGCUAUGAGCUUGUCCGGUGCCGGAGGGAAACCGUUAAGUCCGCCGCCUGGGGAGUACGGCCGCAAGGCUGAAACUUAAAGGAAUUGGCGGG
RNAcentral lists this ribosomal RNA (414 nucleotides) under uncultured microorganism. RNAcentral describes it as "bacterial SSU rRNA". It matches the Rfam family "Archaeal small subunit ribosomal RNA", at positions 459 to 872 of the family's 1478-position model. The record is from RNAcentral.